GAUGAACGCUGGCGGCGUGCCUAAUACAUGCAAGUCGAGCGAACAGACGAGGAGCUUUCUCCUUUGACGUUAGCGGCGGACGGGUGAGUAACACGUGGGUAACCUACCUAUAAGACUGGGAUAACUUCGGGAAACCGGAGCUAAUACCGGAUAAUAUUUCGAACCGCAUGGUUCGAUAGUGAAAGAUGGCUCUGCUAUCACUUAUAGAUGGACCUGCGCCGUAUUAGCUAGUUGGUAAGGUAACGGCUUACCAAGGCAACGAUACGUAGCCGACCUGAGAGGGUGAUCGGCCACACUGGAACUGAGACACGGUCCAGACUCCUACGGGAGGCAGCAGUAGGGAAUCUUGCGCAAUGGGCGAAAGCCUGACGGAGCAACGCCGCGUGAGUGAUGAAGGUCUUCGGAUCGUAAAGCUCUGUUAUUAGGGAAGAACAAACGUGUAAGUAACUGUGGACGUCUUGACGGUACCUAAUCAGAAAGCCACGGCUAACUACGUG
Molecule: ribosomal RNA, 497 nt
Filed under: uncultured bacterium
Lineage: Bacteria
Description: partial 16S ribosomal RNA
Rfam family: Bacterial small subunit ribosomal RNA
Source: RNAcentral